Molecule: non-coding RNA, 182 nt
Filed under: Candidatus Rokuibacteriota bacterium
Lineage: Bacteria; Candidatus Rokuibacteriota
Description: Candidatus Rokubacteria bacterium 6S RNA
Rfam family: 6S / SsrS RNA
About the family: E. coli 6S RNA was the first non coding RNA to be sequenced, but its function was unknown until recently. It consists of 184 nucleotides that fold into an extended hairpin structure with a large single-stranded internal bulge. The 6S RNA specifically associates with RNA polymerase holoenzyme containing the sigma70 specificity factor.
Source: RNAcentral
GUAUCCCUGUGCUGUGCGUGAUGUGAGGUGUGGUUGCGAGCCUAGUAACGUGAACGGGAGCCUUCACGUGCCGGCGGUGUGCAAGCCCCUCUCCGAAGGGGAAGCCUGAAGCCGCGCCGAGGGUGCCCACCUGGCUCAGCCAGGUUCGAACCUGCCGAGCACACGGCAGAGGCGGGGAUCUC